UACGAAGGGGGCUAGCGUUGUUCGGAAUUACUGGGCGUAAAGCGCGCGCAGGCGGUUUUCCAAGUCAGUGGUGAAAGCCCGGAGCUCAACUCCGGAACUGCCAUUGAAACUGGCGAACUUGAGUACGAGAGAGGUGAGUGGAAUUCCCAGUGUAGAGGUGAAAUUCGUAGAUAUCGGGAGGAACACCGGUGGCGAAGGCGGCGAUCUGGGUCGAUACUGACGCUGAGGUGCGAAAGCGUGGGGAGCAAACAGG
This 253-nucleotide ribosomal RNA is filed under the name uncultured bacterium. RNAcentral's name for it is "partial 16S ribosomal RNA". It matches the Rfam family "Bacterial small subunit ribosomal RNA", at positions 524 to 776 of the family's 1533-position model. The record is from RNAcentral.